UACGUAGGUGGCAAGCGUUGUCCGGAAUCACUGGGCGUAAAGCGCGCGCAGGCGGCGAUCUACGUCUGGGGUGAAAGCCCGGAGCUCAACUCCGGGACUGCCUUGGAUACGGGAUCGCUUGAGGAUUGGAGAGGCAAGGGGAAUUCCACGUGUAGCGGUGAAAUGCGUAGAUAUGUGGAGGAACACCUGUGGCGAAGGCGCCUUGCUGGCCAAUUUCUGACGCUGAGGCGCGAAAGCGUGGGGAGCGAACAGG
Molecule: ribosomal RNA, 253 nt
Filed under: uncultured bacterium
Lineage: Bacteria
Description: partial 16S ribosomal RNA
Rfam family: Bacterial small subunit ribosomal RNA
Source: RNAcentral